CCUACGGGAGGCAGCAGUCGAGAAUCUUCGGCAAUGGGCGCAAGCCUGACCGAGCGACGCCGCGUGUGGGAUGAAGGCCUUCGGGUUGUAAACCACUGUCAGAGGGAUGAAAUGCAGGUGGGUUCUCCCAUCUGUUUGACAUAGCCUCAGAGGAAGGACGGGCUAAGUUCGUGCCAGCAGCCGCGGUAAGACGGACCGUCCGAACGUUAUUCGGAAUCACUGGGCUUAAAGGGUGCGUAGGCGGCGCGGAAAGUUGGGUGUGAAAUCCCUCGGCUUAACCGAGGAACUGCGCCCAAAACUACCGUGCUCGAGGGAGAUAGAGGUGAGCGGAACUUAGGGUGGAGCGGUGAAAUGCGUUGAUAUCCUAAGGAACACCGGUGGCGAAAGCGGCUCACUGGAUCUCUUCUGACGCUGAGGCACGAAAGCUAGGGUAGCGAACGGGAUUAGAUACCCGGUAGUCCUAGCGUAACGAUGAGACACUAGAGUAGUAGGUCGUCCACUANCUCCUCUCGCACGAAGAGUAGUAGCNCCGCCGUCGGAGGUAGUGGUCGCGACGGACGUGAACGUAACGAAAGAAAGUUAAGUACGGACGUGAGACGUAGCCGACGGACGACCGACCGACGGGAAGGUUAGGGAGG
Molecule: ribosomal RNA, 638 nt
Filed under: uncultured bacterium
Lineage: Bacteria
Description: bacterial SSU rRNA
Rfam family: Bacterial small subunit ribosomal RNA (bases 1-534)
Source: RNAcentral